RNAcentral lists this ribosomal RNA (211 nucleotides) under Escherichia coli. Its description in RNAcentral is "partial 23S ribosomal RNA". It matches the Rfam family "Bacterial large subunit ribosomal RNA", at positions 1156 to 1365 of the family's 2925-position model. Lineage: Bacteria; Pseudomonadati; Pseudomonadota; Gammaproteobacteria; Enterobacterales; Enterobacteriaceae. The record is from RNAcentral.
GGCCUGCGCGGAAGAUGUAACGGGGCUAAACCAUGCACCGAAGCUGCGGCAGCGACGCUUAUGCGUUGUUGGGUAGGGGAGCGUUCUGUAAGCCUGUGAAGGUGUACUGUGAGGUAUGCUGGAGGUAUCAGAAGUGCGAAUGCUGACAUAAGUAACGAUAAAGCGGGUGAAAAGCCCGCUCGCCGGAAGACCAAGGGUUCCUGUCCAACGU